GACGAACGCUGGCGGCGUGCUUAACACAUGCAAGUCGAACGGAAAGGCCCUGCUGUUGUGGGGUGCUCGAGUGGCGAACGGGUGAGUAACACGUGAGUAACCUGCUCUUGACUUUGGGAUAACUUCAGGAAACUGGGGCUAAUACCGGAUAGGAGCUCCUGCUGCAUGGUGGGGGUUGGAAAGUCUCGGCGGUUGGGGAUGGACGGGCGGCUUAUCAGCUUGUUGGUUGGGUAGUGGCUUACCAAGGCUUUGACGGGUAGCCGGCCUGAGAGGGUGACCGGCCACAUUGGGACUGAGAUACGGACCAGACUGGUACGGGAGGCAGCAGUGGGGAAUAUUGCACAAUGGGCGGAAGCCUGAUGCAGCAACGCUGCGUGCGGGAUGACGGCCUUCGGGUUGUAAACCGCUGUAGCCUGUGACGAAGCGGGAGUGACGGUAAUGGAUAAAGAAGCACCGGCUAACUACGUG
Molecule: ribosomal RNA, 468 nt
Filed under: uncultured bacterium
Lineage: Bacteria
Description: partial 16S ribosomal RNA
Rfam family: Bacterial small subunit ribosomal RNA
Source: RNAcentral